GAUGAACGCUGGCGGCGUGCUUAACACAUGCAAGUCGAACGAUGAAGCCCAGCUUGCUGGGUGGAUUAGUGGCGAACGGGUGAGUAACACGUGAGUAACCUGCCCUUAACUCUGGGAUAAGCCUGGGAAACUGGGUCUAAUACCGGAUAGGAGCGUCCACCGCAUGGUGGGUGUUGGAAAGAUUUAUCGGUUUUGGAUGGACUCGCGGCCUAUCAGCUUGUUGGUGAGGUAAUGGCUCACCAAGGCGACGACGGGUAGCCGGCCUGAGAGGGUGACCGGCCACACUGGGACUGAGACACGGCCCAGACUCCUACGGGAGGCAGCAGUGGGGAAUAUUGCACAAUGGGCGCAAGCCUGAUGCAGCGACGCCGCGUGAGGGAUGACGGCCUUCGGGUUGUAAACCUCUUUCAGUAGCGAAGAAGCGAAAGUGACGGUACCUGCAGAAGAAGCACCGGCUAACUACGUG
This 466-nucleotide ribosomal RNA is filed under the name uncultured bacterium. Its description in RNAcentral is "partial 16S ribosomal RNA". It matches the Rfam family "Bacterial small subunit ribosomal RNA", at positions 28 to 507 of the family's 1533-position model. The record is from RNAcentral.